This 1521-nucleotide ribosomal RNA is filed under the name Shigella dysenteriae. RNAcentral's name for it is "bacterial SSU rRNA". It matches the Rfam family "Bacterial small subunit ribosomal RNA". Lineage: Bacteria; Pseudomonadati; Pseudomonadota; Gammaproteobacteria; Enterobacterales; Enterobacteriaceae. The record is from RNAcentral.
AGAGUUUGAUCAUGGCUCAGAUUGAACGCUGGCGGCAGGCCUAACACAUGCAAGUCGAACGGUAACAGGAAACAGCUUGCUGUUUCGCUGACGAGUGGCGGACGGGUGAGUAAUGUCUGGGAAACUGCCUGAUGGAGGGGGAUAACUACUGGAAACGGUUGCUAAUACCGCAUAAUGUCGCAAGACCAAAGAGGGGGACCUUCGGGCCUCUUGCCAUCGGAUGUGCCCAGAUGGGAUUAGCUUGUUGGUGGGGUAACGGCUCACCAAGGCGACGAUCCCUAGCUGGUCUGAGAGGAUGACCAGCCACACUGGAACUGAGACACGGUCCAGACUCCUACGGGAGGCAGCAGUGGGGAAUAUUGCACAAUGGGCGCAAGCCUGAUGCAGCCAUGCCGCGUGUAUGAAGAAGGCCUUCGGGUUGUAAAGUACUUUCAGCGGGGAGGAAGGGAGUAAAGUUAAUACCUUUGCUCAUUGACGUUACCCGCAGAAGAAGCACCGGCUAACUCCGUGCCAGCAGCCGCGGUAAUACGGAGGGUGCAAGCGUUAAUCGGAAUUACUGGGCGUAAAGCGCACGCAGGCGGUUUGUUAAGUCAGAUGUGAAAUCCCCGGGCUCAACCUGGGAACUGCAUCUGAUACUGGCAAGCUUGAGUCUCGUAGAGGGGGGUAGAAUUCCAGGUGUAGCGGUGAAAUGCGUAGAGAUCUGGAGGAAUACCGGUGGCGAAGGCGGCCCCUGGACGAAGACUGACGCUCAGGUGCGAAAGCGUGGGGAGCAAACAGGAUUAGAUACCCUGGUAGUCCACGCCGUAAACGAUGUCGACUUGGAGGUUGUGCCCUUGAGGCGUGGCUUCCGGAGCUAACGCGUUAAGUCGACCGCCUGGGGAGUACGGCCGCAAGGUUAAAACUCAAAUGAAUUGACGGGGGCCCGCACAAGCGGUGGAGCAUGUGGUUUAAUUCGAUGCAACGCGAAGAACCUUACCUGGUCUUGACAUCCACGGAAGUUUUCAGAGAUGAGAAUGUGCCUUCGGGAACCGUGAGACAGGUGCUGCAUGGCUGUCGUCAGCUCGUGUUGUGAAAUGUUGGGUUAAGUCCCGCAACGAGCGCAACCCUUAUCCUUUGUUGCCAGCGGUCCGGCCGGGAACUCAAAGGAGACUGCCAGUGAUAAACUGGAGGAAGGUGGGGAUGACGUCAAGUCAUCAUGGCCCUUACGACCAGGGCUACACACGUGCUACAAUGGCGCAUACAAAGAGAAGCGACCUCGCGAGAGCAAGCGGACCUCAUAAAGUGCGUCGUAGUCCGGAUUGGAGUCUGCAACUCGACUCCAUGAAGUCGGAAUCGCUAGUAAUCGUGGAUCAGAAUGCCACGGUGAAUACGUUCCCGGGCCUUGUACACACCGCCCGUCACACCAUGGGAGUGGGUUGCAAAAGAAGUAGGUAGCUUAACCUUCGGGAGGGCGCUUACCACUUUGUGAUUCAUGACUGGGGUGAAGUCGUAACAAGGUAACCGUAGGGGAACCUGCGGUUG